This 1226-nucleotide long non-coding RNA is filed under the name Canis lupus familiaris (dog). Its description in RNAcentral is "lncRNA (ENSCAFG00845015033.1)". Lineage: Eukaryota; Metazoa; Chordata; Mammalia; Carnivora; Canidae. The record is from RNAcentral.
UGAUUGGCUCUGCAGCUUUCAUUCUCUGGAAAUUUUAAGGACUAAAGUAUUUAUACACUUUGGGAUCAGGAAGGAGCUGUGCUUGGAUACAGAGGAUUGCUAUAAUCUCUGGAGAUGUUGCAUUGAAAGUCCACUUUUCUGAAACUUUGAGAACUUGAAGAUCAUUAAUACCAUCAGUACCCUUCCUUUCAAAUAUCAAAUUUCUAGUAAAACAGUGUUGAAACUAUCUUUGACAACUAUCAUAUGGUUUCACCCACAUGUGGAAUUUAAGAGCUAGUACAGAGGACCAUAAGGGAUGGGAGGGGAACUGAAUAGGAAAAAUCAGAGAGAGAGAGACAAACCAUGAGAGGCUCUUAACUCUGAGAAACAAACUGAGAGUUGCUGAAGGGGAAGUUGUUGGGGGAUGGGGUAACUGGGCGGUGGGCACUAAGAAGGACAUGUGAUGUGAUGAGCACUGGGUGUCAUAAGCAAUUGGUUAAUUAUUGAAAACUACAUCUGAAAAUGAUGGCAGUAGUUUGGCAAAUUGAAUUUUAAAAAGAAAAAAGAAAAAGAAACUAUCUCUGAAGCUAUCGAGGAGCCAGCAGUCCAACUUCCUGAUUGUCAGGAGUGUUAACACCCAGCCACAGGAACCCGUGGAACUUGCUGCCUUGAAGAAUGUUUUGAAAAGGAAAGGUCCAGAGUGAGGGUAGAACCCUUCUCAGGAGAGAAUAAUGAACACAAUGACCUCCAGGACAAAGGAGAGUGAGUGGGGCGGGCUGGGAAAUCAAGACUGCUUGCAAUUUAGUGCAUGAAUUGUUGGGUGUGACAGUAGUUCUUCAUGGGGACUUGGGAUUUUUUUUGUUUGUUUUAAAAUUACAAAGGAUCUCAGAGACUGAGAGAAACACAGGGAAGAGGAAGGAGGGAAGUGGGACCCAGGGGCAUUAUGGAAUUCACGGAAACUGGCUUCAAGCUCUCUUGUUUCUCUCUUCAUUUAUUUAAGCACAUCCUCCAAGUAAUCACCUCCUUUGGAAGAGACUAUUUUCUGAUUACACUGAGAUUCACAGACCCAGGAAAUGUCCUCAGGAAAUGCACUUGGACAGAUGAUGGAAUUAUGAAGGGUCACCACAUACCAGAGGAAAUAUGAAGCAGCAGCUUUGAAGACUGAGCAACCAAUUGAGGCAUCCCCAACCCAACUGGGCUUAAUGCAGCUUCACUGAACCUGAUCUGAGACUCACAGCUCCCCGGGA